CAAGGAAUCGCCAUUGCACACAUACAAGCAUUUCCAGGUUCUGUCUCUGAUGGGGACUGUUGAAGAGCCAAGACUCAGAGCACUGGAUGGGAACUUCCUUCGCUAGCCCUGGAAUUACAGUUCUUCGCUCUUGUCUGGCCAGUUAGAUGCAUCUCUCCCAGUGCUGCAGCUGCUGAAGCAUCUGCCAUGAAACAAAGCUCCCAUUUAGAGACUGUGUUUGAAGAUAUGGGAAUUACAAACCAUACUCCCAGUUUGGAUGAAUUAUAGGAAGGCAUAAUGAAUACUUCUCAAUUAGCAAAUCAUCAGUUUAAAUUCUGGUAUCACUGUCUCCUAUUGUUUUCUGUUCCAUU
RNAcentral lists this long non-coding RNA (350 nucleotides) under Cricetulus griseus (Chinese hamster). Its description in RNAcentral is "lncRNA (ENSCGRG00015036261.1)". Lineage: Eukaryota; Metazoa; Chordata; Mammalia; Rodentia; Cricetidae. The record is from RNAcentral.